This 301-nucleotide ribosomal RNA is filed under the name uncultured bacterium. RNAcentral describes it as "partial 16S ribosomal RNA". It matches the Rfam family "Bacterial small subunit ribosomal RNA", at positions 509 to 807 of the family's 1533-position model. The record is from RNAcentral.
CAGUCGCCACGGUAAUACAGAGGGUGCAAGCGUUAAUCGGAAUUACUGGGCGUAAAGCGCGCGUAGGUGGUUCGCCAAGUUGGAUGUGAAAUCCCCGGGCUCAACCUGGGAACUGCAUCCAAAACUGGCGAGCUAGAGUAUGGUAGAGGGUGGUGGAAUUUCCUGUGUAGCGGUGAAAUGCGUAGAUAUAGGAAGGAACAUCAGUGGCGAAGGCGACCACCUGGACUGAUACUGACACUAAGGUGCGAAAGCGUGGGGAGCAAACAGGAUUAGAUACCCCAGUAGUCCCUGUCUCUUAUAC